This 248-nucleotide unclassified non-coding RNA is filed under the name Hevea brasiliensis (rubber tree). The record is from RNAcentral. Lineage: Eukaryota; Viridiplantae; Streptophyta; Magnoliopsida; Malpighiales; Euphorbiaceae.
AUCUUUGAGUAUAAUGGAAGUGCUGUAGUCGCGAUGGUGGGGAAAAAUUGUUUUGCCAUUGCCAGUGAUCGUAGGCUUGGUGUUCAGCUGCAGACUAUUGCCACAGAUUUCCAGAAAAUUUACAGGAUUCAUGAUAAGCUAUUUCUCGGCCUUUCGGGCCUUGGUACCGAUGCUCAGACACUGUAUCAACGGCUUGUUUAUCAGCACAAACUGUACCAACUUCGUGAAGAGAGGGACAUGAAGCCUGA